CAGCAGUGGGAGGUGCUGUGUCUCGAAGCAAUGAGGUUUGGAGACCGCGGAGGGUACUGGUUACAACCUACCCACGCCUCAGGAUAGAGACUGCAGAAAUUGUGAAAUUUCCGGAUGAAAAUUGAGUGAUCUUAAACCUGCCCCAUUCGUUGAAAAUCUACCUUAGGUAUGUUACUUAAAACUUCCUGGCCAAUACAUUUUACUUCGUGUAUUGACCUGGGAUAUAUAAAAACUGCACAACCCUUGGCAUACGAGAUAGGUACUCAGUUAAAAAGAAGUCUAAAAGUACCUGAGAUUUCUUUGCUCCAUCGAUAUUAUAUUCUCCCUUGGACCUUGAGCUCCUUGUGCCAUGUUACGAUUUGGUUGAUUGUGCCACCAUAAUCUGAGCACCUCAAGAGCAAGCAGGAGCUUGUUUUUUUCUGAGGAUCUGUGGGCCCUUGUAGAGUAUUGCUCAUAAAAGGAGGAUUAGGUGAAUGAGACGAAAGAAGAGCUGUUUAGAGAGCAAAGGAGUCUUGUGGCUCCAUCAGUCAGGACAAUUGAGAAUCAAAGUCUUGGACCAAACCUCCGAAGACCUGUUUCAGGUCUCCCCUUCGCAACCUCUUUCCUCACUUAUAAAGCAGGAGGGGAAACAGUCUCACUAAUUAUUUUCUAAAGUUUUGAGGAUCCUAUAAAAGCUCUUACCAAGGUUGCUUGGAAAAAUCAUUGAGCUUUAUCUAGGGAGAAAGUGGUAUUCAAGAUAAAGGGGGAAAACUUCAUAGAAGAGGUGAGCAGGAAAAGACUCCACUACCCCCACUCCUUCGCUGAGAGAGAUUUAUCUGAUGUCAAAAUCGUGGCUUGUCAACGAACCAGAAAAUAAAAACAGGUCCUCAUAUUCGGAGGUGCAAAGUCAGCGUACAUCCCAAUUGGAAAGUUUCCAAGGAGGAAGCUGAGGUCAUUGGUGUAAGAUGAUCUUCUCCUCCCUAUAUGAGUUUAGCGCUAUGAAUUUCCCACCAAGUACUGCUUUAACUAUAUCCCACAGAUUUUGAAACAUUGUUCAUUAUUUUAGUUCAGUUCAAAAUACUUUUAAAUUCUCUCUGCUUUUUUCUUUGACCUGUGGGUUAUUUAAAAGUGUGUUACUUUCCUGAGCUUCCCUGGUGGCACAGUGGUUAAGAAUCCACCUGCCAAUGCAGGGAACAUGGGUUCGAGCCCUGGUCCGGGAAGAUCCCACAGGCCGAGGAGCAGCUAAGCCCGUGCGCCACAACUACAGAGCUUGUGCCCUAGAGCCCACGAGCCACAACUACUGAGCCCACGUGCCAAAACUACUGGAGGCCACAUGCCCGGAGCCCGUGCUCUGCGACAAGAGAAGCCAUCUCAAUGAGAAGCACGUGCACCACAACGAAGAGUAGCCCCCACUCGCCACAACUACAGAAAGCCCAUGCACAGCAAUGAAGACCCAACACAGCCAUAAAUAAAUAAAUAAAUAAAUAAAUAAAAAAGCAUACCUUGGAGACUGGCUUCGGUCCAGACCACUGUAAUAAAGCAGAUAUCACAAUAAAGCAAAUCACACGAAUUUUUUGGCUUCCCAGUGCAUAUAAAAGUUACAUUUACACUGUACUGUAGUCUAUUAAGUGUGCAAUAGUAUUAUGUCUUUAAAAACAAUGUACAUGCCUUAAUUUUAAAAUAUGUUAUUGCUAAAAAAUGCUAACCAUCAUCUGAGUCUUCAGUGAGUUGUAAUCUUUAUCAGGUGCAGGGUUUGAAAUAUUGCAAGAAUUACCAAAAUGUGACACAGAGGCGUGAAGAGAGCAAAUACUGUUGGGAAA
Long non-coding RNA from Physeter macrocephalus (sperm whale), 1799 nucleotides. RefSeq lists it as uncharacterized. The record is from RefSeq and is a predicted model, not a curated record. Lineage: Eukaryota; Metazoa; Chordata; Mammalia; Artiodactyla; Physeteridae. The transcript has 3 exons.